GAUGAACGCUGGCGGCGUGCCUAAUACAUGCAAGUCGAGCGAACGGACGAGAAGCUUGCUUCUCUGAUGUUAGCGGCGGACGGGUGAGUAACACGUGGAUAACCUACCUAUAAGACUGGGAUAACUUCGGGAAACCGUAGCUAAUACCGGAUAAUAUUUUGAACCGCAUGGUUCAAAAGUGAAAGACGGUCUUGCUGUCACUUAUAGAUGGAUCCGCGCUGCAUUAGCUAGUUGGUAAGGUAACGGCUUACCAAGGCAACGAUGCAUAGCCGACCUGAGAGGGUGAUCGGCCACACUGGAACUGAGACACGGUCCAGGCUCCUACGGGAGGCAGCAGUAGGGAAUCUUCCGCAAAGGGCGAAAGCCUGACGGAGCAACGCCGCGUGAGUGAUGAAGGUCUUCGGAUCGUAAAACUCUGUUAUUAGGGAAGAACAUAUGUGUAAGUAACUGUGCACAUCUUGACGGUACCUAAUCAGAAAGCCACGGCUAACUACGUG
Molecule: ribosomal RNA, 497 nt
Filed under: uncultured bacterium
Lineage: Bacteria
Description: partial 16S ribosomal RNA
Rfam family: Bacterial small subunit ribosomal RNA
Source: RNAcentral